GUUACAAUGAACAAGAAUCCCUAUUAGGGAUUGAAAC
This is a non-coding RNA of Limnoraphis robusta CS-951, 37 nucleotides long. Lineage: Bacteria; Bacillati; Cyanobacteriota; Cyanophyceae; Oscillatoriales; Sirenicapillariaceae. The record is from Rfam.